AUGGAGGAGAGGCAGAUCUUACUCAUAAUACUCAUCACAGUUUCAGGAGGAUUUGCUGCUGGAAUUGGACCAAGUGAAGGAGAUACUAAUAUAAUCAGAGAAGAAGGAAAGUCUGUGACACUGAGCUGCACAUAUGAAACAGACAGCAACACAAUUUGGCUUUACUGGUACAGACAAUAUCCCAACAGAGGACCAGAAUAUAUUCUGUAUAAAGGUGCUCGAUCAUGGAGCAGUGAUAAUGAUAUACCAGAUGGGUUUCAAUCAACUACAUCCCAGUCAUCCACUGAACUCACUAUUAACAGUGUAACUCUGUCAGAUUCAGCUCUCUAUUACUGUGCUCUAAGAGUUGGAGCCCAGUGA
Carassius auratus (goldfish) is the source of this 360-nucleotide non-coding RNA. NCBI's taxonomy places the organism in Eukaryota, Metazoa, Chordata, Actinopteri, Cypriniformes, Cyprinidae. The record is from the annotation of a RefSeq genome assembly.